This 686-nucleotide unclassified non-coding RNA is filed under the name Acromyrmex echinatior (Panamanian leafcutter ant). Its description in RNAcentral is "uncharacterized LOC105144828, transcript variant X1". The record is from RNAcentral. Lineage: Eukaryota; Metazoa; Arthropoda; Insecta; Hymenoptera; Formicidae.
AACAAUAAUUAAAUUUAAUACACAUAUUAAAAUUAAUAUUUAAGAAGAGCUAUACAGUUUUAGUCGAAACUGACACGUAAUGAGUGUUCAGUUUCGGUAAAAGUUUCUGUUGGACUGUAUUCAUAUAUAUAAUAAAGUUUACAACAUUUUAGCUAAUAUUUAAGUUAUAACAUAAAAAUUUAGAGCGCUUUAAAUUAAGUUUUGCAUAAAUCAUAGCAAUAAAAUUUUUUCAUGUUGCUGCUUCUAGGUGGAUUGCUAGCUAGAAUAGAUUCUAUCCAUUGUAUUGUCUGCGAUGCCGGCCUUUCACUUCAUUGUCACCGCAGUCUAGUAGAAUGAAAAGAUUCUAAUCGUUCUAUAGAAUUGCUAUAGAAUUAACGAAAUCCGACCGGAAAAUGAUCCAUAGCACAGAAUGUUGAAAUAAUGUUCUAUGCUGUAUGGGGAGCAUCAUGUAUCGCAGACUUAUUUGGUACAGGAUGCGCGUGGAUUGGUGAAAUAAAGGACAGGAAUAAAACUGAAAAUCGGCCAAAAUAUGUUAUCUCAGCACUGGGACUACAAUUCUAUCUGCAAUGCUUUUCGCACACUGAGAAUGGACUCGCAAGAUGGACAUAUAUACAGGGUGUCCAGAAAAUCGCUUGCAAUAUUUUGGAAAGUGAUUCGGAACUCAAAAAAAAAAGGAAAAAAAACUU